This 484-nucleotide ribosomal RNA is filed under the name uncultured bacterium. RNAcentral's name for it is "partial 16S ribosomal RNA". It matches the Rfam family "Bacterial small subunit ribosomal RNA", at positions 28 to 523 of the family's 1533-position model. The record is from RNAcentral.
GACGAACGCUGGCGGCGUGCUUAACACAUGCAAGUCGAACGAUGAAGCUGGAGCUUGCUCCGGUGGAUUAGUGGCGAACGGGUGAGUAACACGUGAGUAAUCUGCCCUUGACUCUGGGAUAACUGCGGGAAACUGUAGCUAAUACCGGAUACGACACCUUCGGGCAUCCGAUGGGUGUGGAAAGAAUUUCGGUCAAGGAUGAACUCGCGGCCUAUCAGCUAGUUGGUGAGGUAAUGGCUCACCAAGGCGACGACGGGUAGCCGGCCUGAGAGGGUGACCGGCCACACUGGGACUGAGACACGGCCCAGACUCCUACGGGAGGCAGCAGUGGGGAAUAUUGCACAAUGGGCGAAAGCCUGAUGCAGCAACGCCGCGUGAGGGAUGAAGGCCUUCGGGUUGUAAACCUCUUUUAGUUGGGAAGAAGCGAAAGUGACGGUACCAACAGAAAAAGCACCGGCUAACUACGUGCCAGCAGCCGCGGUAA